Molecule: long non-coding RNA, 554 nt
Organism: Panthera uncia (snow leopard)
Lineage: Eukaryota; Metazoa; Chordata; Mammalia; Carnivora; Felidae
Exons: 2
Source: RefSeq, a predicted model, not a curated record
CUCUCAUAUCCUCGUUUCUACCAGUGUGACAUCAUAAUGGCCACAGAUGGUCUUUUGGUAAAUGGAUAUCACUCAGGAAGACCUUACAACCAUUUCUCCUCUUCUAUCUGCACAGUGAGAUUUCUCCUGAUUUGGAGAAGAGCGAGAAAUGCCCAGCUCAGAACCUUGGAGACAGUGCCAGCGAUGGAAGAAGAGAAGUUGUCAGGAGAAAGUGAACAAAUGAGGGAUGUUCUGGAGUUCUUGCCUGCUGUGUGCCUAAGCACUACCCACCCCGUGUCUCUCUCUGUGGACCUGGUAUACUUGUAUCCAUGUGCCUUCCUUUCUUCCCCAUCUUCCUUUUUGCUCCUGUCUUCCCUGUUCCCUUCCUCCAUCUCCCUCCCUGCGCACCGUCCUUUCUCCUCCUCUCUUACUUUAUCCUCAAGAGUGUUAUUAGUUUUUAUGCAACAAAAUACUUCUCUUCCAUGUCCUUAAUGUUAUAUUAUUCUUCCACUCAUGUAAAUGAUUGUUUCAUGUUACUUGAGAUGAAAGAAAUAAAUAGGACUCUAUUACACUUA